GACGAACGCUGGCGGCGUGCUUAACACAUGCAAGUCGAACGGAAAGGCCCUGCUUUUGUGGGGUUCUCGAGUGGCGAACGGGUGAGUAACACGUGAGUAACCUGACCUUGACUUUGGGAUAACUUAAGGAAACUGGGGCUAAUCCCGGAUAGGAGCUCCUGCUGCAUGGUGGGGGUUGGAAAGUUUCGGCGGUGGGGGAUGGACUCGCGGCUUAUCAGCUUGUUGGUGGGGUAGUGGCUUACCAAGGCUUUGACGGGUAGCCGGCCUGAGAGGGUGAACGGCCACAUUGGGACUGAGGUACGGCCCAGACUCCUACGGGAGGCAGCAGUGGGGAAUAUGACACAAUGGGCGGAAGCCGGAUGCAGCAACGCCGCGGGCGGGAUGACGGCCUGCGGGGUGUGAACCGCUUUCGCCUGUGACGAAGCGUGAGUGACGGUAAUGGGUAAAGAAGCACCGGCUAACUACGUG
Molecule: ribosomal RNA, 468 nt
Filed under: uncultured bacterium
Lineage: Bacteria
Description: partial 16S ribosomal RNA
Rfam family: Bacterial small subunit ribosomal RNA
Source: RNAcentral